AAUGAUUACAUACAGUUUUACUACGUGCAAAUUUUGAAUUCUUGCAUUUUCGACAGGGGCAGAACAUCUUACCGCUUUCCUGGGUGAUCGGUGUACAGCCCACCUGGUGCAUGAAUGCCCGUUCAGAAAUGCGUUCGUCACCCUCUCAUCGGAAUCUUUGUGCAAAUACAUUCAACUCCGUAACUCGUAAAUACUACCGCCACCAGCCAUUUUUUUUUUAGAUUUUUUUUGAAAAUUUUUUUUUGCUGAUUUUUUUUCCGUUUGUGUGUUGUGAGGAAGAGAGUUGUGGGAAAUGACAUAUAUAUAGAGAAAUUUUCGAGUUGGGUAGUUGAAAUACAACAACGAUUUUACAAGGAAUGUUUUACAUAGAUUUUACAUGGUUUUAACAUAAUAUUUACAAUGACUUUACAACGAAUUUAGGUAAGUUAAAGCACAUUGAAUACACGUUUUCACCUAAAUAUAACGGUAACAUGAUUCGUUGUAAUGUCGAUGUAACGUUUACGAUUAUUUUUGCUUUCCACGUACUUUCGUCGUAAAGUUCCAUGGAGUUUACGACGAAUUUUGGUCUCGUUGUAAUUGCGUUGUAAAAACCUUGCAAAUUUACGAGGAAAUAUUUUCGUCGUAAAUCUUUGUUGUUACUGAAACGUUUUUUUGUAGUGUCUAGUUGUAAUAAUUUAAAUAAUAUAGCAAUCAAAUAUAAACCCCGUUUCAGAAUUUAUUUCACUGCUUAACAUGCCCAGUUACAAUUGAGUCGACCAUGGCUUCUGAUAUACACCCCUCGAGUGACAGUGCGUACUGCUUUCUACCAAUAUAUUUU
This 817-nucleotide long non-coding RNA is filed under the name Brassica rapa (field mustard). RNAcentral's name for it is "long non-coding RNA (BRAP_LNC000450)". Lineage: Eukaryota; Viridiplantae; Streptophyta; Magnoliopsida; Brassicales; Brassicaceae. The record is from RNAcentral.